UUGAUCAUCUUCCACAAAACCGUAUAUAUUCACAUUGCCUCUCAACCCACCUCUGCCUCUCUCUCUCUCUCUCUCUCUCUCUCUCUCAUUUUUUAAAUUUCCCUCAUAAACCCAAUUACAAUCAAAUCCCACUAAAACCCCUUUGCUCAAUCACCAAUUCUGAUAUCUUGUCACACAAAAAAGUUGUGCAACAUGAGAAGCACCAAAGCACAGAACAAAAACAAGUUCAUGAGAAUCAUCACAGUACCCAUCAGAGCUCUGAGUAAAGCGAAGGACUUUUAUGUGAGAAGCAUGACAGAUGUGGCUGAGAGAGUGAGCUAUGGCAACACCAUGGGAGGCCCAGGUGGCCAGUUCCCUUCCUCAAGCCUUCCCAAAAGCUUCAGCUCUAGGUCAACUUCUGGGUCGAGUGAAGCCAGUGGUGAUGAUUUUUCAGAGCUUAUCAGAGCUGCCUCUGCCAGAAGCUAUGGAACAAGGAUUGAUGUGGAUGCAAUAUUGAAAGAGCAGCAGCUGAAGCGAUCUGCUACAACCACCACCAUGGGAUCAAAAGCUGUGCUUCCCAAGUGUAGCAGCGUGGCCAUGGGAAGGAUUGAUGAAGACGGGCCUGCUGAUUUUGAUGAACAUACUGCUGGUGAUGUCAAGCCUGACUUGCUCUUCCUCACUCGUUAAGUCUCUUCCCGGAAUCCAUGGACCUCUUCCUUUCGAACUCGAAACUGGGUACGUGGGAGUGGGGGAAGCAGAGGAGGUGCAGCUCUUCUACUACUUCGUCAAGUUAGAGAGCAAGGCAGAAGAGGAUCCUCUAAUGCAUUGGCUAACUGGUGGACCUGGUUGUUCUCCGGUGACUGCCUUUCUGUACGUAAUAGGUCCACUGAAUUUUGAAAUAGAGCAGUACAAUGGGAGUUUACCUACCUUAUCUUAAAUCCAUACUCAUGGACAAAGCUAUCUAGCAUAAUUUUGCUUAGAUUCCCCGGUUGGAACUGGAUUUUCGUAUGCAAGAUCUUCAUUUGCUGGCCAGCCAGGUGAUUCGGAACAAGUGCAACAUGCCCUCCAAUUCUUCAGGAAGCUGAGCAAAUUUAGAAACAAUUUAUUUGGGGUCUUAAUGAGCUCAUCUAAUCGACAAUACGUCCGCAAAGCCCUUCGCAUACGCAAGGGAAGUAUAGGGAAAUGGCAGCGAUGCAACUACGAAAAACCUUAUGUCCAUGACAUUGAAACCAGUAUUCAGUAUCAUGCAAAGCUUAGUGCUAAAGGCCUUCCAUCUUUAAUAUAAAGGUGAGAAUUUAAACCCACCACACACGAGACGCGCGCAGAUAUACAUCAAGCAUGGAUAAAAUCUUUAAAUUAUUCCAUUAUUGAUGACUGGAGACCAUGGCUUGUGCAAGGUCAAAUUGCAGGUUAUACAAGAACGUAUUUGAAUCGGAUGACGUAUGAAGGCAAGAACAUUUGUUUCAGUUUUGGGGGGGCAGGGCACACAGCUCCUGAGUACAAGCGUGAAGAAGGCUUGACCAUGUAUAAAAGGUGGAUAUCUGAGGAACCUCUUUUAACCAUCUCCAACUUCACAGCUGUAUAUUUUUCUUUUCCAGUCAAUUACAAAUUUACAGUAAUGUUACCAUCAAAGAGAGCAAUAAGGUUGCUGAUCAAGGUUUUACAUUUGACAAAAUUUAUUCCAUCUUAA
Non-coding RNA from Prunus avium (sweet cherry), 1669 nucleotides. NCBI's taxonomy places the organism in Eukaryota, Viridiplantae, Streptophyta, Magnoliopsida, Rosales, Rosaceae. The record is from RefSeq and is a predicted model, not a curated record.